GCAAGGUUAACCGAAUAGGGGAGCCGGAGGGAAACCGAGUCUUAAUUGGGCGUUAAGUUGCAGGGUAUAGACCCGAAACCCGGUGAUCUAGCCAUGGGCAGGUUGAAGGUUGGGUAACACUAACUGGAGGACCGAACCGACUAAUGUUGAAAAAUUAGCGGAUGACCUGUGGCUGGGGGUGAAAGGCCAAUCAAACCGGGAGAUAGCUGGUUCUCCCCGAAAGCUAUUUAGGUAGCGCCUCGUGAAUUCAUCUCCGGGGGUAGAGCACUGUUUCGGCUAGGGGGCCAUCCCGGCUUACCAACCCGAUGCAAACUGCGAAUACCGGAGAAUGUUAUCACGGGAGACACACGGCGGGUGCUAACGUCCGUCGUGAAGAGGGAAACAACCCAGACCGCCAGCUAAGGUCCCAAAGUCAUGGUUAAGUGGGAAACGAUGUGGGAAGGCCCAGACAGCCAGGAUGUUGGCUUAGAAGCAGCCAUCAUUUAAAGAAAGCGUAAUAGCUCACUGGUCGAGUCGGCCUGCGCGGAAGAUGUAACGGGGCUAAACCAUGCACCGAAGCUGCGGCAGCGAACGUAUCACUUAAAGCGAUUCAGCGGGUUACGAUUGACGGAGCGAAGCGACGUCAAAGCGUAUACAAAGUCGAGUCGGUUUAAGGAUACGUUCGUUGGGUAGGGGAGCGUUCUGUAAGCCUGUGAAGGUGGCCUGUGAGGGUUGCUGGAGGUAUCAGAAGUGCGAAUGCUGAC
RNAcentral lists this ribosomal RNA (743 nucleotides) under Salmonella enterica subsp. enterica serovar Dublin. RNAcentral describes it as "partial 23S ribosomal RNA". It matches the Rfam family "Bacterial large subunit ribosomal RNA", at positions 640 to 1301 of the family's 2925-position model. Lineage: Bacteria; Pseudomonadati; Pseudomonadota; Gammaproteobacteria; Enterobacterales; Enterobacteriaceae. The record is from RNAcentral.